UACAGAGGGGGCAAGCGUUGUUCGGAAUUACUGGGCGUAAAGGGCGCGUAGGCGGCCUGCUAAGUCGAACGUGAAAUCCCCGAGCUCAACUCGGGAACUGCGUCCGAUACUGGCAGGCUUGAAUCCGGGAGAGGGAUGCGGAAUUCCAGGUGUAGCGGUGAAAUGCGUAGAUAUCUGGAGGAACACCGGUGGCGAAGGCGGCAUCCUGGACCAUGACUGACGCUGAGGAGCGAAAGCCAGGGGAGCAAACAGG
Molecule: ribosomal RNA, 253 nt
Filed under: uncultured bacterium
Lineage: Bacteria
Description: partial 16S ribosomal RNA
Rfam family: Bacterial small subunit ribosomal RNA
Source: RNAcentral